Molecule: ribosomal RNA, 316 nt
Filed under: uncultured bacterium
Lineage: Bacteria
Description: bacterial SSU rRNA
Rfam family: Bacterial small subunit ribosomal RNA
Source: RNAcentral
GAUGAACGCCGGCGGUGUGCCUAAUACAUGCAAGUCGAACGGAGUUACAUUGAAAGCUUGCUGGAUAUGUAACUUAGUGGCGGACGGGUGAGUAACACGUGAGUAAUCUGCCUUCCAGAGGGGAAUAACGUUUGGAAACGAACGCUAAUACCGCAUAACGUACGGUCCUCACAUGGGGACUGUACCAAAGAUUUUAUCGCUGGAAGAUGAGCUCGCGGCCGAUUAGGUAGUUGGUGAGAUAACAGCCCACCAAGCCGACGAUCGGUAGCUGGACUGAGAGGUUGAUCGGCCACAUUGGGACUGAGACACGGCCCAG